ACGCUCGACACCUACGGAGGCAGCAGUGGGGAAUAUUGCACAAUGGGGGAAACCCUGAUGCAGCGACGCCGCGUGGAGGAAGAAGGUCUUCGGAUUGUAAACUCCUGUUGUUGGGGAAAAAGAGGAUGGUACCCAACAAGGAAGUGACGGCUAACUACGUGCCAGUAGCCGCGGUAAUCUGAGCGGGCUGGCAAGGC
Molecule: ribosomal RNA, 197 nt
Filed under: uncultured bacterium
Lineage: Bacteria
Description: partial 16S ribosomal RNA
Rfam family: Bacterial small subunit ribosomal RNA
Source: RNAcentral